This 976-nucleotide long non-coding RNA is filed under the name Triticum aestivum (bread wheat). RNAcentral describes it as "long non-coding RNA (TAES_LNC006036)". Lineage: Eukaryota; Viridiplantae; Streptophyta; Magnoliopsida; Poales; Poaceae. The record is from RNAcentral.
UCUCGUACUUGGUAUCCAGUCGAUCUCAGUCGACGCCGGCAAUGUCCCCGGCUUGGAAGGGAACUGCGUCUAUUAUGGCAACGGCUUGUGCCGGCAGACGGGGAUCUGCGUGUACCGCAUCAACGACGGCAGUGAGGAGGUACUGGCCGCGCACCCCACGGACAAGGAGCGGCGUCGUGGGCAGGGCCGUGUGUUCCCCUUGCCCCUGGCCCAAAUUCUCGUGAUCUCCGCGUGGCCUUUCCGUGAUAGUGAUUUUGAAGGUUGGUGAAUUUCUUUGAACUAUGCUGAUAUUUUUAAGCUUUGAUUGAUUUUGAACGAGGUUUCUCAUUUCCUUAGGAAUCUUGAUGAAUUAUGCUGAUAUUUGAUUGAUUUUACCUUUGUUUGUAGUUUUGUACUAUAAUACUCCUGCGGAAUAGUACCAAAAUAAACACAACAAUUCUGCAACAAACUACAAUGGUCGGCCAGAGCAAGAAGAAGAGGCUGUGUGCGGGCGCGUAGCGGCUGAAUCGUGCGGUCUCGGGCGUGCGUAUCAUGCGGUGCACAGCGAUCAUCCGAAAUUUAGGCCUGUCAUCUGGCAUGUUGUGUUGACCUCCCAAACUUCAAACUAAGAUAUGUGAACACACUCUGUGAAUGAGACGGGCGGGGGUGACUGAUGGGGGUAGCCAAAGCCGAGGGUUGAUUCUAGCUAGCAUGUGCCCGACAUGUGUGAUGUUUCUAAGUUUCUUGCACACCAUUAACGACCAUUUUCCUUGUUACCUCAUUUAUCUCUCCGUGCACUGUAUCCUUUCCCCUUCCAAUUUUCGGAAAAAAUGAUCCAAAUAUCUAAUAACCUAAAAGUUUUCUAAAGAUCCGUUGGAAGUCAACCUUGAAUUUCCUUGAACGUUGACAAAAAUUUGUUGGACUACUUAUAUGUUAGUUGAAAGUUCGAAAACAUUGUUUGAAAGCUUUAUUAUUACUAGCAUAUUGAUCAAAUUAA